RNAcentral lists this long non-coding RNA (273 nucleotides) under Homo sapiens (human). RNAcentral's name for it is "HSALNT0044040". Lineage: Eukaryota; Metazoa; Chordata; Mammalia; Primates; Hominidae. The record is from RNAcentral.
GUAAGAAGAAUACUUACGCACGACAUUCAGGUUACAGGAAGUCUUAAAAUCCUUAGCAUCACAAGUGUAUGUUUUAAUAUCCUCUGGGGUACAGUCAUGUAUAACAAGUUUUCUGACCCUGCCAUCAGCAACAAUUUCAUACUUCUUGCUUUUGAGGAUUUCUGUCCCAUUUUUGAACCAUUUCACCUUAGCAUUUUCUCUGGAGACUUCACACUCCAGCACUGCAGUGGCUCCCUCUUCGACCGUCUGGUCCUCAAGAGGCUUAGUGAAUUC